RNAcentral lists this ribosomal RNA (468 nucleotides) under uncultured bacterium. RNAcentral's name for it is "partial 16S ribosomal RNA". It matches the Rfam family "Bacterial small subunit ribosomal RNA", at positions 28 to 507 of the family's 1533-position model. The record is from RNAcentral.
GACGAACGCUGGCGGCGUGCUUAACACAUGCAAGUCGAACGGAAAGGCCCUGCUUUUGUGGGGUUCUCGAGUGGCGAACGGGUGAGUAACACGUGAGUAACCUGCCCUUGACUUUGGGAUAACUUCAGGAAACUGGGGCUAAUACCGGAUAGGAGCUCCUGCUGCAUGGUGGGGGUUGGAAAGUUUCGGCGGUUGGGGAUGGACUCGCGGCUUAUCAGCUUGUUGGUGGGGUAGUGGCUUACCAAGGCUUUGACGGGUAGCCGGCCUGAGAGGGUGACCGGCCACCUUGGGACUGAGAUACGGCCCAGACUCCUACGGGAGGCAGCAGUGGGGAAUAUUGCACAAUGGGCGGAAGCCUGAUGCAGCAACGCCGCGUGCGGGAUGCCGGCCUUCGGGUUGUAAACCGCUUUCGCCUGUGACGAAGCGUGAGUGACGGUAAUGGGUAAAGAAGCACCGGCUAACUACGUG